RNAcentral lists this ribosomal RNA (496 nucleotides) under uncultured bacterium. Its description in RNAcentral is "partial 16S ribosomal RNA". It matches the Rfam family "Bacterial small subunit ribosomal RNA", at positions 28 to 506 of the family's 1533-position model. The record is from RNAcentral.
GACGAACGCUGGCGGCGUGCCUAAUACAUGCAAGUUGAGCGCUGAAGGUUGGUACUUGUACCAACUGGAUGAGCAGCGAACGGGUGAGUAACGCGUGGGGAAUCUGCCUUUGAGCGGGGGACAACAUUUGGAAACGAAUGCUAAUACCGCAUAAAAACUUUAAACACAAGUUUUAAGUUUGAAAGAUGCAAUUGCAUCACUCAAAGAUGAUCCCGCGUUGUAUUAGCUAGUUGGUGAGGUAAAGGCUCACCAAGGCGAUGAUACAUAGCCGACCUGAGAGGGUGAUCGGCCACAUUGGGACUGAGACACGGCCCAAACUCCUACGGGAGGCAGCAGAAGGGAAUCUUCGGCAAUGGACGAAAGUCUGACCGAGCAACGCCGCGUGAGUGAAGAAGGUUUUCGGAUCGUAAAACUCUGUUGGUAGAGAAGAACGUUGGUGAGAGUGGAAAGCUCAUCAAGUGACGGUAACUACCCAGAAAGGGACGGCUAACUACGU